Meleagris gallopavo (turkey) is the source of this 136-nucleotide non-coding RNA. The record is from RefSeq and is a predicted model, not a curated record. Lineage: Eukaryota; Metazoa; Chordata; Aves; Galliformes; Phasianidae.
CAGGAUCUGGAGGAAAGACUUUUAAUAAAAACUACUGUGACUAAGCUCCAGACUUGUAUGCCAAAAAAAUACAUCUGUGGCUGGCUGAUGAAAGCUGCUCAGAAGAAACACUGUGUCACUGAACCGCAGACACUAG